GAGACAGGAAAAGGAAGAGAGAGCAAUGAGAACAGUAUUUUGAAAUGGAUCUGUAAAUUUUAAAGUUAAUGAAAAAGAGGAGGAUAAGAUGAUGUGGAGGCUCCGACAAGCGUUAAUUCCACGCUAUAAUUUGCAGAGAAAGUUCCAGAAGCCCACAGCUCGGUUUCCUCUGUUUCAUUUCUUAAUAUUUCAUCUCAUCUCAAAUCUUCACUCUCCUUCGGCUGAUCGUUUCUGAAGCCUCCCUCCAGAUCCCUCUCUUUCAGGCAUCACUGACUCGUUCUGCGCGACGGCGUUGAAGUUGUUUUGUUUUGAGCUGAGCUGCGUGCUACUAUGGCAUCCAAGCGCAUCUUGAAGGAACUCAAGGAUUUGCAGAAGGACCCUCCCACCUCUUGCAGUGCUGGUCCUGUAGCUGAAGACAUGUUCCAUUGGCAAGCAACGAUUUUGGGACCUACUGAUAGCCCAUAUGCUGGAGGCGUAUUUCUUGUCUCGAUUCAUUUUCCACCUGAUUAUCCUUUCAAGCCCCCAAAGGUUGCAUUUAGAACCAAGGUCUUCCAUCCAAAUAUUAAUAGCAAUGGGAGUAUUUGUUUGGAUAUUCUUAAAGAGCAAUGGAGCCCAGCAUUGACCAUUUCUAAGGUUUGAUCUGAUUAUGCCCUUCUCUCUUUUAUAGAUCAAAAUUUUGCAUUUUAUUUUAUUCUACUUUAAGUCCUUUUAUUAUCAUUAUUUUGAUAAAUGAUAUGAUUCUGCACAUCCACAUAAGAAGGUUGAGAAAAUGGCAUGAAUGGAUGAUGGACCCAUGAUAUGGUUACAUUGGAUUUACUGUUUGAUUAAGUAUGGAUAUUUUAAAAGAAGUUGCAUAAAAUUAAGCAUUGAACUCGUCUCCCAACCCCCCAAAAGGAGGGAAAGCUAAGUGUCAAAAGGCAUUGAGGCAUAAAACCUUUUUGAAUUUGAUUUUUAAUUUAAGACUAAAGAAAGAUAAUUUAAUGUAUAUUAAUAGGAAGUUAGGAAAUUAUAAAUAAAAAUUAAGUAAUUAAGUAAAACUUCUAUAAUUUCAAGCCUAGUUGUAGGCCAUUCUAAGCCUACAAACUUAAUUUCUUUCAAAUAGACUGCGCAAAGAGGUUAUCAUAAGUCAUAAGUUGCAAUGUUCAAAUUGUCUUUGUCGUCAUGGUCCAAGCCAUAGUCAUCAAAUUGAGAUUUCAAUCCUGUAUUGAAAUCCUGAUUUCAUGGAUUGAGGAUCAAGUCGCAAGAUUCAAUACAAAAUUUGAAAAACAAAUUCCAAAAUGACUCGCGUAUAUGUACAAUAAGAUAGUAAAAACUCAUUGCAAUUUCUAUAAAACAUGGAUUAACCAUGUUGAUGAUUGGAAAGACACGUGUCUUUGAAGCAUGUUUUGUAGGUCUAGAUCCUACCAUGAUGUAUUUAACUUAAACAUAUGUUGACAUAAAAGAGAAAACUAGCCAAAUAAACGAGAUAUACCAUGACCUAACCAUUCCACAGGUAUCAAGUUAAGCUAGUUUGUAUGAAACUAACAAUAUGUUUUAUGUGACCCAAAACUAAAGCAGUAAAUCUAGUUCAGGAGACACUUAAAAAAUAAGACAGGACCCAUGCAAUUUUCUUUAGGAAAACAUGUUUAUGGUGGAAGUUUACAUGUUUGACAAUAAAAAAUUCAUGUGUAUACUUUCUUUUUAAAAAAAGUGAGGAGUCAAGAAAAGAAUAAUGAAAAAUUGAACUUCAUGGUUUUUAGGGAAUGAAUCAAUAAAAAAAGAUUAAAAAUUUGAACAUUAUGGUGUUAAAUGAAAAAAAAAUUCAUUUUUAAUCCAUGGGCUUUCUCUAAGAACUAAAACAAGAAGAAAAAGUAAUAAAAAACAUAAAUAGGACUUACUAAAAUAUGAAAGUUCUUAAAAAAAUCAGACCUUUAAUCCAAAGAGUGGAGAAGCACCCACCUAGUUGACUUUGGUUUUCUUCUAAAGAUUGGUUUCCUUCCCUAACUCUCGUUUUCUUAUAAUCUUAUCCAACACAGAAAAAGAAAGGUGCAGAACGAGAAGGCCAACAGACCUCUUUCUUCCUCUUGGAGGACGGAAUAUGUCCACAUGGCAGUAGCAGAGUCGAUGAACAGGGUGGGACCGACCAAUUUCACCCAAUCUGCUGCCACAUAGGUAGUCUAACCUAAUAUCAUUCAAAAUCAUUCAAAAUAUGUGUAUAUAAAUUUAAAUUUUGUAAUAUCAAACAUUCAAAAUACAUGUAUAUAAUUAGUUGUCUAAAAUAUGAUAUGGUUACACACUUACACUACUUGACCUAAAAUAUGACAUGGUUAUGCCGCCCAACAGCCAUCAAUGCACCAAGUGAACACAUGAAAUGUCCCAUGAGUAGUCAAGGCAUCCAUUUCUAUGUCCAUUGCAUGCUUCUACCCAGGGUUAGCAAGUGCUUUAGGACAUGAGGAAGGGAUAGGGACAGGUCAUUGACAUGGCAAAAGAAUGCAUAGGUCUAGGAAGGUGUUGAACUGAAAUAAAAAUGACUAUUACAUGUCUGGGUACCUUUCCUGUGUGAUCAGUGAAUCCAAAUCACAUGGGUCUGUAGAACUAGAAGUCAAAACAGUGGAGGGCGAAAGAGGCGGUUGCAUAGUGGUAGACUGGUAGUGAUGUCUACCUUCUUUCCAUUGUUCAUAAACCCCCCAUUGCUUUUUUAGAUCAAUAAUUGAUGGAUCCAAAGGAGGAUUAGAAGUUCGCUCUAGAAUGAUAAGGGUAGGGAUAAGUAAAUCAAUAAACCAGGGGAGCUAGAAAUCAUUGAUGGAUGCAAUAUAUAUUUAUCCGAUGAGUACGCAACACUAGAAAAGGGAAAAAAAAUGUGCCCCCUAAAAAAUGGUAACAUCUGCACUAAAAUGUUUGCUGCGGGUGGGGAUCAUAAUGUUUAUAUCCUUUCUGAGUUCUCCAGUAGCCUACAAAGACACAUUUGACCCGCAUGGGGGACAUGAACAAAACAUGUGCACCCAAAGGCACGAAACACAACAAAGAUCAUGGAUAUUUUUGGAUACAUGAUAGACCCCCUAUAACACUGGAGGGCGUGCUAUUAACUAGAAGCAAGCUAUAGGAAGCACACACACACACCCACCCCUUGAAACCAUAACAGGCAGUUGGAGAAUCCAUCCAAUUUGAUGGCUGUGAUAUGUACAUUAACAGUAUCAGUCUAAGCUCUCCCUGUAGAGGCCAUCAGUACCACCCCCAAUAUGCUACGAAAAAUGCACCCCAGUACCAGGAAUGAACAAAACAGCAGUAAUAUGAAAUCAGGCAGUGCACACAAGCACAGAGCAGAAUUCUGGAACUUAACAGUGUCAGUCUAAGCUCUCCCUGUAGAGGCCAUCAGUACCACCCCAAUAUGCUACAAAAAAUGCACCCCAGUACCAGGAAUGAGCAAAACAGCAGUAAUAUGAAAUCAGGCAGUGCACACAAGCACAGAGCAGAAUUCUAGAACUUCAGAACUUCAGGAUGGCUCACGAAACAUAAGUACCAAGAUCACACGAGGAAUUACUUGUCCAUGUGGAAGUGGGCAAACCACAGUAAGUACAAUAAGCAUAUAAACAGCCUGGUGGCACAACAGCUGCGAAUAUGAUGGCUGGCAGCAACUAGAAAUUAGUGCCAACAAGAGCAGGAAAUAAGGUCAUAGAACACCAAUCAAAAACACCAGCGACUGAUUGAAGAUUGCAGCAAUCAAUAACGAGAGCACAACAUCAUUGUGCCACAACCAACCAACGAACAACUACACAGCAACGGCAGUUACCAGAAACAGUGCGUCACACAGCAAGAGCAGAUACCAGAAAUGGAGUGUCACUUCACAUGAGCAAAUCACCAUGAACACACCCAGCAUCCUGCCAAGGAUGCUGCACGGCGAAGUGGAGAUGAAAAGUGACCUGAACAACUCAAACCAACCAGAACUCAUAUUUGGGAGCUGAUAAGAAUAGUGUCAGUAAAAAUACUCAAGAAAAAUCAGAUUUAAAGGAGAUUAAUGCUCUUAUAUCAUGUUGUAAAGUUAGAUAUGAAGGUGAGAAGAAGAGGAGACGAAAACAAGAGAAAGGAGGUGGCAGUUUUGUGGAAUUACGUUAAGCUUUAAGCCUGGCCUUUUACAUAUUAAUAAUAAAAAAGCUGGAAAGACAAAAGUUCCCUUACAUGUUA
This is an RNA transcript of Malania oleifera, 4161 nucleotides long. It is a transcript of the gene named ubiquitin-conjugating enzyme E2-17 kDa, with no coding region annotated. The transcript has 5 exons. The record is from RefSeq and is a predicted model, not a curated record. NCBI's taxonomy places the organism in Eukaryota, Viridiplantae, Streptophyta, Magnoliopsida, Santalales, Ximeniaceae.